UAGAGUUUGAUCAUGGCUCAGGAUGAACGCUAGCGACAGGCCUAACACAUGCAAGUCGAGGGGCAUCGGGGCUAGGAGCAAUCCUUGCCGCCGGCGACCGGCGCACGGGUGAGUAACGCGUAUGCGACCUGCCCGUUGCAGGGGGAUAAUCGGGAGAAAUCCCGUCUAAUACCGCGUAAUGCCGCGGGGCUGCAUGGCCCUGCGGCCAAAGGGAGCGAUUCCGGCAACGGAUGGGCAUGCGUGACAUUAGCUAGUUGGCGGGGCAACGGCCCACCAAGGCGACGAUGUCUAGGGGUUCUGAGAGGAAGGUCCCCCACACUGGUACUGAGACACGGACCAGACUCCUACGGGAGGCAGCAGUGAGGAAUAUUGGUCAAUGGGCGCGAGCCUGAACCAGCCAAGUCGCGUGAGGGAUGACGGCCCUACGGGUUGUAAACCUCUUUUGUCGGGGAGCAAAUUCCGUUACGUGUAACGGAGUCGAGAGUACCCGAAGAAAAAGCAUCGGCUAACUCCGUGCCAGCAGCCGCGGUAAUACGGAGGAUGCGAGCGUUAUCCGGAUUUAUUGGGUUUAAAGGGUGCGUAGGCGGACUGUCAAGUCAGCGGUAAAAUACGGGGGCUCAACCUCCGCCCGCCGUUGAAACUGACGGUCUUGAGUGGGCGAGAAGUAUGCGGAAUGCGUGGUGUAGCGGUGAAAUGCAUAGAUAUCACGCAGAACUCCGAUUGCGAAGGCAGCAUACCGGCGCCCAACUGACGCUGAAGCACGAAAGCGUGGGUAUCGAACAGGAUUAGAUACCCUGGUAGUCCACGCAGUAAACGAUGAAUACUAGCUGUCCGGGGCGAAUGAGCCCUGGGUGGCACAGCGAAAGCGUUAAGUAUUCCACCUGGGGAGUACGCCGGCAACGGUGAAACUCAAAGGAAUUGACGGGGGCCCGCACAAGCGGAGGAACAUGUGGUUUAAUUCGAUGAUACGCGAGGAACCUUACCCGGGCUCAAACGACACAGGAACGUACCUGAAAGGGUUCGGCUCUACGGAGCCUGUGUCGAGGUGCUGCAUGGUUGUCGUCAGCUCGUGCCGUGAGGUGUCGGCUUAAGUGCCAUAACGAGCGCAACCCCCAUCGACAGUUGCUAACAGGUCAGGCUGAGGACUCUGUCGAGACUGCCGGCGCAAGCUGCGAGGAAGGCGGGGAUGACGUCAAAUCAGCACGGCCCUUACGUCCGGGGCGACACACGUGUUACAAUGGCAGGUACAGCGGGAAGCCACCUGGCGACAGGGAGCGGAACCCGAAAGCCUGUCUCAGUUCGGAUUGGAGUCUGCAACCCGACUCCAUGAAGCUGGAUUCGCUAGUAAUCGCGCAUCAGCCACGGCGCGGUGAAUACGUUCCCGGGCCUUGUACACACCGCCCGUCAAGCCAUGGAAGCCGGGGGUGCCUGAAGUGCGCUGCCGCGAGGAGCGCCCUAGGGUAAAACCGGUGACUGGGGCUAAGUCGUAACAAGGUAGCCGUA
RNAcentral lists this ribosomal RNA (1503 nucleotides) under uncultured bacterium. Its description in RNAcentral is "16S ribosomal RNA". It matches the Rfam family "Bacterial small subunit ribosomal RNA". The record is from RNAcentral.